GCAUAUCAAUAAGCGGAGGAAAAGAAACCAACAGGGAUUGCCCUAGUAACGGCGAGUGAAGCGGCAUCAGCUCAAAUUUGAAAUCUGGCUCUUUCAGGGUCCGAGUUGUAAUUUGCAGAGGGCGCUUUGGUGUUGGCAGCGGUCCAAGUUCCUUGGAACAGGACGUCACAGAGGGUGAGAAUCCCGUACGUGGUCGCUGGCCUUCGCCGUGUAAAGCCCCUUCGACGAGUCGAGUUGUUUGGGAAUGCAGCUCUAAAUGGGAGGUAAAUUUCUUCUAAAGCUAAAUACUGGCCAGAGACCGAUAGCGCACAAGUAGAGUGAUCGAAAGAUGAAAAGCACUUUGGAAAGAGAGUCAAAUAGCACGUGAAAUUGUUGAAAGGGAAGCGCUUGCAGCCAGACUUGCCUGUAGUUGCUCAUCUAGGCUCUUUGCCUAGUGCACUCUUCUGCGGGCAGGCCAGCAUCAGUCUAGGCGGUUGGAUAAAGGCCUCUGUCAUGUACCUCCUCUCGGGGAGGCCUUAUAGGGGAGGCGUAAUGCAACCAGCCUGGACUGAGGUCCGCGCAUCUGCUAGGAUGCUGGCGUAAUGGCUGUAAGCGGCCCGUCUUGAAACACGGACCAAGGAGUCUAACAUCUAUGCGAGUGUUUGGGUGUCAAGCCCGAGCGCGUAAUGAAAGUGAACGGAGGUGGGAUCCCUUUAGGGUGCACCAUCGACCGAUCCUGAUGUCUUCGGAUGGAUUUGAGUAAGAGCAUGGCUGUUGGGACCCGAAAGAUGGUGAACUAUGCUUGAAUAGGGUGAAGCCAGAGGAAACUCUGGUGGAGGCUCGCAGCGGUUCUGACGUGCAAAUCGAUCGUCAAAUUUGGGCAUAGGGGCGAAAGACUAAUCGAACUAUCUAGUAGACUGGGUUCCUGCGAG
This 911-nucleotide ribosomal RNA is filed under the name Neocucurbitaria cava. Its description in RNAcentral is "LSU rRNA". It matches the Rfam family "Eukaryotic large subunit ribosomal RNA", at positions 38 to 965 of the family's 3401-position model. The record is from RNAcentral. Lineage: Eukaryota; Fungi; Ascomycota; Dothideomycetes; Pleosporales; Cucurbitariaceae.